AUGGCAGGACCACCUUCUUUACCUGUUCCAAUUCCUCUGAUCCCAAGAUCUCUAGUCAGGAUCAGACAGAGGUUGUCAGCAAUCCUCAUAGCACCCUUCUGGCCAUGUCAACCAUUUUUUUUCUACUCUGGAGGAGUUAGCCACCAAGAUGUUCAGACUUCCACCAGUGCCACAUCUGCUGAUGCAGGAUUCGGGGAGUGUUCUACAUCCAGACCUCAACUCUUUCCACCUAGCUGCGUGGAAGAUCUGCCUGAAAUCAAAGAGGCGUUAGACAAAUACAAAAAACCAUCUACUAUCCUUUUAUACAAAUGGAAUAAUUUUCUUCGUUUUGCCACUGCCAGAAACCUCCAGACUUCUCCAGUUUCCCUACAGACUUUACUCCUAUAUCUCAAACAUCUUUUUGAUCUCGAACUUACCUUGUCGACUCUCAAGGUGUACAUCUCUGCAAUAGUUUCUUUCCAGCCCAGAGACUCAGAAUCUUCACGUCUCUUCUCUCAUCCCACAUUAAAAGCAUUCUUAAAGGGACUAAUCAACCUUUGCCCUCCUACACAGCCUCCAGUACCUCAAUGGUCCCUUACACUGGUUCUGCAAUCACUCACGAAGCAUCCCUUUGAGCCUAUGGCUUCGCGUGAUGUUAAAUUUCUUUCUUUACAGACUCUGUUUCUAGUUGCAGUUACGUCUGCUAGAAGAGCAAGUGAGUUGGCAGCUCUAAGGUCUGAUUCUCGUUACUUGCAAUUCUAUAAGGACAAGGUUAUGCUGUUUCCGGAUGUUUCGUUCCUACCUAAAGUUGUUACAGAUUUUCACCUCAACCAACCAGUUUCGUUACCUACCUUGUUUUCUGAUCCUUCAUCUGAUGUUGAAAAGACGCUCCAUUCCCUGGAUGUUAGAAGGGCGUUAGCAUAUUACGUUUCCAGGAGAAAGGACUUUCGGAAAUCUGAAAGACUCUUCCUGUGCUUCUUUGGACCACACAAGGGUUGUCCAGUGUCAUCUUCUACCUUGUCACAGUGGCUUGUCUCCACUAUUACUCUUGCCUAUCAAGUAAAGAUGUGCCUGAAGGUCUUAAAGGACAUUCCACAAGGUCCAUGGCAACAUCUACUGCCUUACUACAUGGUGUGGACAUUCCAGACAUCUGCAGGGCAGCAACAUGGUCCAGAGUGUCCACAUUUGUCACCCACUACAGGUUGGACCUUCAGGCAAAGGUGA
Molecule: long non-coding RNA, 1203 nt
Filed under: Pogona vitticeps (central bearded dragon)
Lineage: Eukaryota; Metazoa; Chordata; Lepidosauria; Squamata; Agamidae
Description: lncRNA (ENSPVIG00000019928.1)
Source: RNAcentral